This 63-nucleotide transfer RNA is filed under the name Peltonotellus sp. RNAcentral's name for it is "tRNA-Gly". The record is from RNAcentral. Lineage: Eukaryota; Metazoa; Arthropoda; Insecta; Hemiptera; Caliscelidae.
AUUCUUUUAGUAUAAAAGUAUAUUUGACUUCCAAUCAAAAGGUUAUAAAAAAAUAAAAGAAUA